RNAcentral lists this ribosomal RNA (783 nucleotides) under Nocardia sp. J-14. RNAcentral's name for it is "bacterial SSU rRNA". It matches the Rfam family "Bacterial small subunit ribosomal RNA", at positions 45 to 832 of the family's 1533-position model. Lineage: Bacteria; Bacillati; Actinomycetota; Actinomycetes; Mycobacteriales; Nocardiaceae. The record is from RNAcentral.
UGCUUACACAUGCAAGUCGAGCGGUAAGGCCCUUCGGGGUACACGAGCGGCGAACGGGUGAGUAACACGUGAGCAACCUGCCCCUGACUCUGGGAUAAGCGGUGGAAACGCCGUCUAAUACCGGAUACGACCCACCACCUCAUGGUGGAGGGUGGAAAGUUUUAUCGGUCAGGGAUGGGCUCGCGGCCUAUCAGCUUGUUGGUGGGGUAACGGCCUACCAAGGCGAUUACGGGUAGCCGGCCUGAGAGGGCGACCGGCCACACUGGGACUGAGACACGGCCCAGACUCCUGCGGGAGGCAGCAGUGGGGAAUAUUGCACAAUGGGCGAAAGCCUGAUGCAGCGACGCCGCGUGGGGGAUGACGGCCUUCGGGUUGUAAACCUCUUUUACCACCAACGCAGGCUCCACGUUCUCGUGGGGUUGACGGUAGGUGGGGAAUAAGGACCGGCUAACUACGUGCCAGCAGCCGCGGUAAUACGUAGGGUCCGAGCGUUGUCCGGAAUUAUUGGGCGUAAAGAGCUCGUAGGCGGCAUGUCGCGUCUGCUGUGAAAGACCGGGGCUUAACUCCGGUUCUGCAGUGGAUACGGGCAUGCUAGAGGUAGGUAGGGGAGACUGGAAUUCCUGGUGUAGCGGUGAAAUGCGCAGAUAUCAGGAGGAACACCGGUGGCGAAGGCGGGUCUCUGGGCCUUACCUGACGCUGAGGAGCGAAAGCAUGGGGAGCGAACAGGAUUAGAUACCCUGGUAGUCCAUGCCGUAAACGUUGGGCGCUAGGUGUGGGGACUUU